GGCCCAAUGGUCUAGUAGUAUGAUUCGCCCUUCGGGUUUCCCAAUCCGGUCUUUCAGAUCACGUGGGCGAGGUCUCGGGUUCAAUUCCCGAUUGGGCCC
Epithele typhae is the source of this 99-nucleotide non-coding RNA. The record is from the annotation of a RefSeq genome assembly. Lineage: Eukaryota; Fungi; Basidiomycota; Agaricomycetes; Polyporales; Epitheliaceae.